This 496-nucleotide ribosomal RNA is filed under the name uncultured bacterium. Its description in RNAcentral is "partial 16S ribosomal RNA". It matches the Rfam family "Bacterial small subunit ribosomal RNA", at positions 28 to 506 of the family's 1533-position model. The record is from RNAcentral.
GAUGAACGCUGGCGGCGUGCCUAAUACAUGCAAGUCGAGCGAACAGACGAGGAGCUUGCUCCUCUGACGUUAGCGGCGGACGGGUGAGUAACACGUGGAUAACCUACCUAUAAGACUGGGAUAACUUCGGGAAACCGGAGCUAAUACCGGAUAAUAUAUUGAACCGCAUGGUUCAAUAGUGAAAGACGGUUUUGCUGUCACUUAUAGAUGGAUCCGCGCCGCAUUAGCUAGUUGGUAAGGUAACGGCUUACCAAGGCAACGAUGCGUAGCCGACCUGAGAGGGGGUGGGGCCACCAGGGACAUGAGCAAGGUCGCGGGAACCAAGGGGGGGAAGAGGGGGGGAUUUUACGGAAAGGGGGGAAAGCCUAAGGGGCAAACGCCGGGUGGGAGAAAAAGUGUUGGGAACGAUAAAACUCUUUUUUUAGGGAAAAAAAAAUGGGAAAGUAAAGAGGGCGGGUGGAACGGAACCAAUGAAGAAAGCCCGGCAAAACUACGG